This 504-nucleotide ribosomal RNA is filed under the name uncultured bacterium. Its description in RNAcentral is "bacterial SSU rRNA". It matches the Rfam family "Bacterial small subunit ribosomal RNA", at positions 21 to 518 of the family's 1533-position model. The record is from RNAcentral.
GGCUCAGGAUGAACGCUAGCGGCAGGCUUAACACAUGCAAGUCGAGGGGCAUCGGGAGUAGCAAUACUUGCCGGCGACCGGCGCAAGGGUGCGUAACGCGUGAGCAACAUGCCCGUAUCAGGGGGAUAAUCCAUGGAAACGUGGUCUAAUACCCCAUAGUAAUUAUGUAAGGCAUCUUAUAUAAUUUAAAGCUUUGGUGGAUACGGAUUGGCUCGCGUGACAUUAGCUGGAUGGUAAGGUAACGGCUUACCAUGGCUACGAUGUCUAGGGGUUCUGAGAGGAAGGUCCCCCCACACUGGAACUGAGACACGGUCCAGACUCCUACGGGAGGCAGCAGUGAGGAAUAUUGGACAAUGGAUGGAAAUCUGAUCCAGCCAUGCCGCGUGCAAGGAAGACGGCCCUAUGGGUUGUAAACUGCUUUUGUAUGGGAGCAAUAAGGGCUACGUGUAGUCCGAUGAGAGUACCAUACGAAUAAGCACCGGCUAACUCCGUGCCAGCCGCAGC